UCAGACUCCUGGACUGACAGAUUUGGAUUUUUUCAGGUCAGAAGCUUCCCUGCAGAAAAGCAAGAUGUUUAGAGUUUUCUUUUCUUCUUCCUCACCAUCUCGAUGGCAAGGACGGCGGCUGUUCCUCUGAAAGCAGAUGACAGUGAAAAC
Long non-coding RNA from Poeciliopsis prolifica (blackstripe livebearer), 150 nucleotides. RefSeq lists it as uncharacterized. The transcript has 3 exons. The record is from RefSeq and is a predicted model, not a curated record. NCBI's taxonomy places the organism in Eukaryota, Metazoa, Chordata, Actinopteri, Cyprinodontiformes, Poeciliidae.